This 465-nucleotide ribosomal RNA is filed under the name uncultured bacterium. Its description in RNAcentral is "bacterial SSU rRNA". It matches the Rfam family "Bacterial small subunit ribosomal RNA", at positions 43 to 507 of the family's 1533-position model. The record is from RNAcentral.
CGUGCUUAACACAUGCAAGUCGAACGGAGCACCCUUGAUUGAGGUUUCGGCCAAAUGAUAGGAAUGCUUAGUGGCGGACUGGUGAGUAACGCGUGAGGAACCUGCCUUUCAGAGGGGGACAACAGUUGGAAACGACUGCUAAUACCGCAUGACGCAUUUUGAUCGCAUGGUCGAAAUGCCAAAGAUUUAUCGCUGAAAGAUGGACCCGCGUCUGAUUAGCUGGUUGGUGAGGUAACGGGCCCACCAAGGCGACGAUCAGUAGCCGGCCUGAGAGGGUGAACGGCCACAUUGGGACUGAGACACGGCCCAAACUCCUACGGGAGGCAGCAGUGGGGAAUAUUGCACAAUGGGGGAAACCCUGAUGCAGCAACGCCGCGUGAGUGAAGAAGUAUUUCGGUAUGUAAAGCUCUAUCAGCAGGAAAGAAAAUGACGGUACCUGACUAAGAAGCCCCGGCUAACUACGUG